This 2120-nucleotide long non-coding RNA is filed under the name Homo sapiens (human). RNAcentral's name for it is "HSALNT0397316". Lineage: Eukaryota; Metazoa; Chordata; Mammalia; Primates; Hominidae. The record is from RNAcentral.
UGACAACCUUCUGUGGUAAGGGGUGAACAUCCUUGGGAAGCCACAGAGAGCAAGGCGCAGUUUUUCAUUGAUCACCACUUUCAAGAUGCUCCCAGAAUCGUGCUGUCUAGGAAGCCAUUUAAACUGGUGAGAAGCCAUCCUCUCUUGAAUGGGGGCUCCCACUGUACAUCUGGCACCCACUUCACAGAUUCUGGGGGAUGUCAACACCAGCACUGCUGAGCUGUGUGACCUUGAGCAAGACAGUUAGCCUCUCUGAACCUCAGUGUCCUUCUCUGUAGGCUGGAGAUUGAUAUACCUUCAUUAUCGGGGUAUGAGAGUGUUAUAAAUCCAUGAACUGGAAGAUGCUUUCUUAUAACUCAGAGAAAAGAGAUGAAAAUGAAUCAAAGAACAGGAAGGAGACAAGCUCAGGAGAGUCACCCUAAGAAGGAUGUGUGGAAGACUUGACUGGAGGAUCAAAAUGUGUCGGGGGAAGGUGUACAAGGAGGAGUAAGGACACAGAUGUCCUGACUUCACACAGUGGGGGAUUAGAAGCCACCAUCAAACACAGAUGAAACAGGAAUAAAAGUAGUAGUACAUUACUUAAGCUUUAAAAGGGUAAGACUCCUGGGAAUUUGGAAGCUGAGACUUGAGGCAAGUAUUUAGGAUUUGCUGUCUCACCUCCCUGCUAUGACAGUCCUUAAUUAAUGGAGAUGAUGGAGAACAGCUUGCUGGGCUGAGUGGCAGGAGCCAUGCAGCUGCUGGGGCUGGAGUGGGUCAGGAAGCUUCAUCAAUCUGGGACACAUGACGUGCUUGGUGGUGGCGGAGCCUGACGCAUCCCUCUUCAUCGACAUUGUGUCAAUAGGAGCAGAGGCAUUUAGCUGUGUAAACACAGAGCUUCAGUGGCAGCACCCUAAAUGCUUAGCUGAUAGAUCCGGAAUUAAAUACAGACCUAGAAACUGGAGUUGGAAAACUUCCUGGCAGCACUCCUUCCCUGCCAUCCCGGUGAUCCCCUUCUGGAUGGAGGGUGUGGAGCUCAGCACAUUCACGUCUGCAGUUCUCAGAGAACCAAGUGUUAAGGAAUGUCAGGGAAGGAAGAAGGCAGCCAGCCAGGAAGGGGAGGUCCUGGCCUGAGCACGCCAGGCACAGAGGGAUAGAGGGUAGGGAGGAAACUGCACCUGUCUCCAACCCUCGACCCCAGCCCCGAAACACGACAUUGGCUGAAACAGAUUAAAAGCAUAAAAUGGCCCAAAGAAAUGGGAGAAGGUUGGCCUCUGGUCGGGCAAACAUGAGGGCAUGAAGAUAUAUAAUGUCCCACACGGGAGGAAACCCUUGCCGGGCCCCUCAGGAUUUAUAACAAGCUCACCUGAAGGAGAAACUUCAGGGGCACUUACACCAUCAGAUACCUAGAAAGGAGCUGUCAUUUCCUCACUGAAGAGUUUGCAAGCAGAUGGAAAAUGUGUGUCUGGAUCAUCUUGUGGCCCGAAUGGGGAGAAAAGCAGCACAAGAAUGGAAUAGUACAGUGGCUACGAACACAGAAACCACACUCCAGGCCCAGUCCCCGGCAGUGGCCUCCAGGACCCACUCUGAGCUAGAUCACAUCAGUGAUGGGCUGGCCAAUCUUUAAGGAGAAUGACUCUACUCUUAGGAAGCCAGCAGGUUGGAGGAGGAAACACAUUCAAAUCCCGAGCACAAGGAGCUGGGAGAAGACCGGUUAUGGGAGCGGCAUUCCUGGAAGCUCUGAAGUCACAGCCCCACUGAUGAAAGGAUGUAAGAACCUAAGAGUGGAAACCUGCCCCUGGGAUUCAUAUGGUGUCCCCUCAGGACUCAAACCCUGGUCUGGAGGAAAGAUGAAAGAAAGAAAAUUAAGGAAAAGAGGAAAACAAGCAAAAAACUCAGCAAAGAUGUCAUUGCAUAAUAGUCCAUUAUGCCUCCAAUUGAGCCGUCAUGAACUAUCAAAGAAAUAAUUGCGCAAUAAGCCCAUAAUGGCUUAAUCGUGUCAACAUCUUUGCAUUUACAUAUUUUUUUAAUCAAUGGAAAUUAAGUACAAAAAUGAGUCUUUUGGUUUCCAUCCUGAUUUUACCUUUGUGACUGGGGGUGGGUUGAGGGUUUGGUUCUCUCUGCCACCUUCAAGGGAGGCUGCA